RNAcentral lists this ribosomal RNA (460 nucleotides) under uncultured bacterium. RNAcentral describes it as "partial 16S ribosomal RNA". It matches the Rfam family "Bacterial small subunit ribosomal RNA", at positions 338 to 795 of the family's 1533-position model. The record is from RNAcentral.
CCUACGGGAGGCAGCAGUGAGGAAUAUUGGUCAAUGGGCGCGAGCCUGAACCAGCCAAGUAGCGUGAGGGAUGACUGCCCUACGGGUUGUAAACUUCUUUUAUAAGGGAAUAAAGUGAGGCACGUGUGCCUUUUUGUAUGUACUUUGUGAAUAAGGAUCGGCUAACUCCGUGACAGCAGGCGCGGUAAUAAGGGGGAUCCGAACGUUAUCCGGGUUUCAUGGGGUUAAAGGGGGCGUAGGUGGGUUGGUAAGGCCAGUGGGAAAGUUUGCGUGCUAAACGUAAAAUUGCCGUUGAUACUGGCAGUCUUGAGUAAAGUUGAGGUAGGCGGAAUUCGUGGUGUAGCGGUGAAAUGCUUAGAUAUCACGCAGAACUCCGAUUGCGAAGGCAGCUUACUAACCUGCCACUGACAUUGAUGCUCGAAAGUGUGGGUAUCAAACAGGUUUAGAUACCCCUGUAGUC